This 2304-nucleotide long non-coding RNA is filed under the name Pan paniscus (pygmy chimpanzee). RNAcentral describes it as "lncRNA (ENSPPAG00000044939.1)". The record is from RNAcentral. Lineage: Eukaryota; Metazoa; Chordata; Mammalia; Primates; Hominidae.
CCCAGCACUGUUGCAUUGGGGUUUGAGUUUCCAACACAUGAACUUUGGGGGACACAUUCAAACCACAGCAGUCCCUUUCCUUUUUUUCAUUAAGCAAAAUCUUUAGAAUGGCUUAUAUUUUUAGGCAGCUAAAAAAAAAACAUUUUUUUCCUUUGUUUUUAGAUGUUGACCUGAUGCGCUCCUGCCGGUCCUAACUGGCCCUCGUGGAAGGCGUGACUUGCAGAGGAGUUGAUUCUUUCUUAUGUACAUUUACUGGAGAAGUUUACAGCAGGAGACUGGGGUCUGAGACACACGCAUCUUUGUGUGCCCCAAAGAAUAAAGCCCUCAAAGGAUGUGAAGCCUGAACUCACUUCAAAUGCUGGAAAGGCCCUUUCCUUAGCUGAGCUGUGGAGGAACCAGGACUCCUGUGGCACUGCCCUAACGAGGAGGCAGUGCUGCCAGAUUCAGGUCUGCAAGACAGCUUUGGUUCAGCUGAUUUCAGCCAGGCUCACCCCGACUUUGCAGGGCGGCUGUGAAGCCCAGCCUUCAGGUUGGGUUCAGCAUCCAGCAGUGCCCUGGAAAAGUGGCUGUGAAGUUACUUGCAAGACUGCAUUGAACCCUGGCGAGACACUUCUCAGGGGAGCUGUCCAGCUACAUUCUCUGAGUGAAGAAGUGGAGAUCACCAUCAGCAGCCUGUGGAAAGGAUGCAAGUGGCUCUUCCAUAUGACCUUGACCUCUAUGACCUUGGCCAACUUAUUUAAAGCCUGAAUACCUUCAUCAAUAAAACUGGGAAAUAGUGAGACCAUUUCCUUGGGCUGAUGACUGUAUAAUGGUAGGCUCAAAGUCAGGAUACAAAGCAGGAUGUACAAUAAGAUGUCAUCAACCAGUGAGCCAAAGUCAGAGGUGGAGGAUGGAAAAAGACUCCAUCAUUCACAGUGUGGGGUUGAGCAUAAGAUUUUCAAAAUACGUUUGACUUUGUAUAUGUUUUCUAGAUUUUCCAUAAUGCCAACCUACAUUUUCCAUAAAGCAUCACCUUUGACAUUGUGAACCCCAAAUAUCUGAGACAGGUCUCAGUCAAUUUAGGAAGUUUAUUUUGCCAACAUUAAGGACGCAUGCCCAUGACACAACCUCAGGAGGUCCUGAUGACAUUUGCCCACGGUGGUCAGGGCACAGCUUGGUUUCAUACAUGUAUUAGACCGUUUUCAUGCUGCCGAUAAAGACAUACCCGAAUCUGGGCAAUUUAUAAAGAAAAAGAGGUUUAAUGGACUCACACAGUUCCACGUGGCUGGGGAGGCCUCAUAAUCAUGGUGGAAGGUGAAAGGCAUGUCAUACAUGGUGUCAGGCAAAGAGAGAAAUGAGAGCCAAGCCAAAAAGGAAACCCCUUCUAAAACCAUCCGAUCUCGUGAGACUUAUUCACUACCACGAGAACAGUAUGGGGGAAACCGGCCCCAUGAUUCAAUCAUCUCCCACUGGGUCCCUCCCACAACACUUGAGAACUAUGGGAGCUACAAUUCAAGAUGAGAUUUGGGUGGGGACACAACCAAACCAUAUCAUAUACAUUUUAGGGGAGACAUGAGACAUCAAUGAACAUGUGUAAGAUGUACAUCGGUUCUGUCCAGAAAGGCGGGACAACUCUAAGCAGGGAGGGGCUUCCAGGCCAUAGGUAGGUAAGAGACAAAUGGUUGCAUUCUUUUUUUUUUUUUUUGUAGAUGGAGUCUCGCUCUGUCGCCCAGGCUGGAGUGCAGUGGUGCAAUCUCGGCUUACUGCAAGCUCCGCCUCCUGGGUUCACGCCAUUCUCCUGCCUCAGCCUCCCAAGUAGCUGGGACUACAGGCGCCCGCCACCGUGCCUGGCUAAUUUUUUUGUAUUUUUUUGGUACGGACGGGGUUUCACCGUUUUAGCCAGGAUGGUCUUGAUCUCCUGACCUCAUGAUCCGCCCACCUUGGCCUCCCAAAGUGCUGGGAUUACAAGCAUGAGCCACGGAGCCCAGUGAAACUCUUUUGAGUUUCUGAUGAGCCUUUCCAAAGGAGGCAAUCAGAUAUGCAUUUAUCUCAGGGAGCAGAGGGAUGACUUUGAGUUCUGUCUGUCAUUUGUCCACAAGGAAAUUCCUUGUGAGGGAGGUAUGUAGCUUUUGAAUCUUAGUAGCCAUCUUUUUUUUUAGCAAUAGAAUGGGAGGCAGGUUUGCCCUAAGCAGUUCCCAGCUUGACUUUAUCCUUUGGCUUAGUGAUUUUGGGGUCCCAAUAUUUAUUUUCCUUUCACAAUGUUUAGAGGAUUUAAUGAAAAAUCAAACUUGUGUCUGUAGCGUCUUUCCCAGUCACCAGCCCCUC